Molecule: ribosomal RNA, 225 nt
Filed under: Triticum aestivum (bread wheat)
Lineage: Eukaryota; Viridiplantae; Streptophyta; Magnoliopsida; Poales; Poaceae
Description: partial small subunit ribosomal RNA
Source: RNAcentral
AUGGCCCCCGCUGAGAGAUCCUGCACGCUCGGCCGCUUCGCCGCGCACGAGGCGGCCCCGCCGGAGACCCUCCACAUCGUGCGCCUGCAGCGGCUCCGCCUCCGCCAAGCAGCAGAGAGCUGCCUCGACCCUAUCGCCGAGGAGGAGGGCAAGACGAGCUCGCCCAGAGCCCACGGCGGCAGCAGCAGCAACGCCACCGUCGACCUUGCGCAAAGUCUUAGCUGA